RNAcentral lists this ribosomal RNA (521 nucleotides) under Lasius cf. hayashi MMANTa40. Its description in RNAcentral is "partial 16S ribosomal RNA". The record is from RNAcentral. Lineage: Eukaryota; Metazoa; Arthropoda; Insecta; Hymenoptera; Formicidae.
GGUUUUUUGAAUUAUAAUUUAAGAUUAGUUCUGCUCAAUGAUUUGAAAUUAAAUAGCCGCAGUAUUUUGACUGUGCUAAGGUAGCAUAAUCAAUUGUUUUUUAAUUAAGAACUGGAAUGAAGGAAUUGAUGAGAUUAAGACUGUCUAAUAUAAAAUGUUAAAAUUUAAAUUUUAAGUAAUAAUUCUUAAAUAAGAUUAUGGGACGAGAAGACCCUAUAGAAUUUAAUAUAAUUUUUUAAAAUAAGUAUAAAAUAAGAUUUAAUAAAAUUAAUAUUUUAUUGGGAGGAUAAUUAAAUUAAAUUAACUUUAAAAUAACAAUUAAACAUUAAUUUAUGAUAAUAGUUGAGUAAUUUUAUUAUAAAUAAUUAAAAUUAAUUAAAAAUUAAUUACCUUAGGGAUAACAGCGUAAUAUUUUUAAAAAGAUCAUAUUGAUAAAAGUGUUUGCGACCUCGAUGUUGAAUUAAAAUAAAAAUUAAAUGAAGAAGUUUAAUAUUUUAGUCUGUUCGACUAUUAAAAUUUUA